Molecule: long non-coding RNA, 404 nt
Filed under: Homo sapiens (human)
Lineage: Eukaryota; Metazoa; Chordata; Mammalia; Primates; Hominidae
Description: non-protein coding lnc-KCNC2-1:8
Source: RNAcentral
AGAGAUCAACAGGCACUGCAUGGCCCGCAGGCUGUGCAGCUCCUCCUGCCCAGGGCUUCAGAGCUUGCUCCAGCUUACUCCUCGAAGCCACAGGACCAGUCUAUGUUAUUGUCCUGGCCACUUUCAGACUCUCAUUUUGCAGCUACUGGAAUUCCGGAGGUGAGCGCUGCAGCUGCUGAUCAGGCCCAUUCCCAGGUUCUCCGGGAAGGGAGCAAAGCGGGAGGCGGCACGCUCCUUUGUCUUCCACUGGCUGAAUGCCAAAAUCCUUCACGCUACCAGUCUCUGCGAACUCCAGGUAGAAGUAGCCACACUUGACUGCCCGGUGCACCUCAAAGCAGAAUCCCAAACAAGAAUCCUCUAUCAGGUCUACGUAAAUCUCCUGAGCGAUGGCCUCUAGCUUGUUA